This 1526-nucleotide long non-coding RNA is filed under the name Lepisosteus oculatus (spotted gar). Its description in RNAcentral is "lncRNA (ENSLOCG00000021301.1)". The record is from RNAcentral. Lineage: Eukaryota; Metazoa; Chordata; Actinopteri; Semionotiformes; Lepisosteidae.
GAAAGACACCAUUCUCCCCUAUGCUUUUCAAAGAACAGUUCACAGCUGCAACAUCUCUCUGCAUGUAAAUAAAGAGAACAAGUUACUUUGAGUCAGUGAAGAUUCAUAACUGAUUUCUCUUUGGUGUAGGUACCUGUGGGAAUAUGUGUCUAGCUUUUCCAAUUUCGAUGACUUCAAGCUGCACAUCCUUUUACAACCACAGUGUUAACAACAACUUUGAAAGUUUCCAGCUCUGCAGAGGAAGCAGGCAGUUGAAGAUUGUCUCCUAACACAGAGCGUGACUGUCCCCUUCCACCGCCUCUUGACCAGGAGAUAAAUGACUUAUGUUAGCAGCCAGCAGGGACAGGAGGUCAGGCAUGGGGCCCCUCCCAAAAAGUCCUGCCAACACACCCACCCUCUACUGCAAGGAAAGAAAGACUGGGAAAUGGAGAUACUUGCUGGAAGGUUGGAACCCUCAGGAAAGACAAGGUCAAAUAUGAAGAUUUGAAAUAGAGUGGGCAAAGAAAGACAACAAUGAAGAUUCAUGUUUUAUACAACCGAGGUCUGGCUCAGCAGGAUAAUGGUGAGAAUUUCACUUAAAGUGGAACCGCAAUGCUAUUUUUAUAUUUCGGUGUUAGAAAGAAUCAGCAUUGAUGAGUGCAUCAAUAAAAAUAAAUGUACACAGCAACUUGUAAAACCUCCUAUUUAGAUCACAAAAUCACCAAAAUUUCCAGGUAUGUGCAGCGCCAUAUUCUGCGAUUCAGAGUGAGGCAACCAAAAGUCCAAUGACAUGCAGAGAACCUAUGACUUUGUAAACAAACAGGCUUGUGAAUACCUCUCUUUUAAUCCAAUAGAAAUAUUGCUCUUUGGUUUUGUGACGGUUUUGUUGAUAGUUGUCAUUUAACUUUGCAUAAGUUGGAACAUUUCUGUAGUGAAAUGUCUGCUGUACAACCUGUACUUAUUUGCUCAUCAUAUAACAUUAAUCAUUACAAUGACAAGUGAGCAGGAAGGGUUCCAGGAAGGAACUCGAAUACAAGUUUUCGACAACAUGGCAACUUACAGUACUUUUAUAAAAGUUCACGAUUUGGUGCUUAAUUCGAAAUACCGUCAAUGAAUUUAUUUUGUUACUGAGAUUUAAUAACCGGCCUGAGAAAUUGGGACUGCAGUUCCCCUUUAAGAUUUAACUGAGUUCUAAAACCCUAAGGACUUUCUCUACACCUUUUCUUGCAGUGCAACACUUACAGAUUUAUCUGCCUCAGUUAAUCUACCUAACAGACACAUAAACACAUAACAUUAGUAAAAUCCUCAUUGUAUGAGAAGAUAAGGCUGAACGUUAUUUAGUUGGAAUGUUUGAAUGUCUCCAAGGUAUUUAAAGGUGUUCAUCUUUAUAUUUGAAGGAGUGAAUCUCUGCAAAACAGAAUAAACAAAACAAAAUAGUUCUGACACUGAGUGUAGCCAAGCAAACUGGUGAAGGAGGUUAAUGAAUUCAGACUUACAAGUUCCAUUUCAGGCUUUGAAAUUCUGACUUCUUCAAAUAUCUUGUAAAU